GAUGAAGAACGCAGCAAAAUGCGAUAAGUAAUGUGAAUUGCAGAAUUCAGUGAAUCAUCGAAUCUUUGAACGCACAUUGCGCCCGCCAGUACUCUGGCGGGCAUGCCUGUCCGAGCGUCAUUUCAACCCUCAGGGCACCCCCGGCACAGCCCGGGGGCGCGCUGGCGUUGGGGAUCGGCCGCCCUCCAGCGGCGGCCGGCCCCGAAAUCUAGUGGCGGUCGCGCCGUGACCUCCCCUGUGCGGUAGCAUACUCGCAGCGGGAGAGCGGUGCCACCACGCCGUGAAACACCCCCAACUCCAAUGGUUGACCUCGGAUCAGGUAGGACUACCCGCUGAACUUAAGCAUAUCAAUAAGCGGAGGA
RNAcentral lists this unclassified non-coding RNA (362 nucleotides) under soil metagenome. RNAcentral describes it as "partial contains 5.8S ribosomal RNA, internal transcribed spacer 2, and large subunit ribosomal RNA". The stretch from base 1 to 120 matches the Rfam family "5.8S ribosomal RNA", at positions 35 to 154 of the family's 154-position model. The record is from RNAcentral.